RNAcentral lists this transfer RNA (84 nucleotides) under Rhodothermales bacterium. Its description in RNAcentral is "tRNA-Leu". It matches the Rfam family "tRNA". Rfam says of the family: Transfer RNA (tRNA) molecules are approximately 80 nucleotides in length. Their secondary structure includes four short double-helical elements and three loops (D, anti-codon, and T loops). Further hydrogen bonds mediate the characteristic L-shaped molecular structure. tRNAs have two regions of fundamental functional importance: the anti-codon, which is responsible for specific mRNA codon recognition, and the 3' end, to which the tRNAs corresponding amino acid is attached (by aminoacyl-tRNA synthetases). tRNAs cope with the degeneracy of the genetic code in two manners: having more than one tRNA (with a specific anti-codon) for a particular amino acid; and 'wobble' base-pairing, i.e. permitting non-standard base-pairing at the 3rd anti-codon position. The record is from RNAcentral. RNAcentral also lists the same sequence under 2 other names. Lineage: Bacteria; Pseudomonadati; Rhodothermota; Rhodothermia; Rhodothermales.
GCCGGGAUGGCGGAACGGUAGACGCAACGGACUUAAAAUCCGUUGGAGCAAUGCUCCGUGCGGGUUCGAAUCCCGCUCCCGGUA